GAUGAACGCUGGCGGCGUGCCUAAUACAUGCAAGUCGAGCGAACAGACGAGGAGCUUGCUCCUUCGACGUUAACGGCGGACGGGUGAGUAACACGUAGGUAACCUACCUAUAAGACUGGGUUAACUUCGGGAAACCGGUGCUAAUACCGGAUAAUAUUUCCAACCGCAUGGUUCGAUAGUGAAAGAUGGCUUUGCUAUCACUUAUAGAUGGACCUGCGGCGUAUUAGCUAGUUGGUAAGGUAACGGCUUACCAAGGCCGCGGUGGGUAGCCGACCUGCGAGGGGGUAGGCGGACAGUGAGAGUGAGAGGCGGUCCAGGCUCUGAGGGGAGGCAGAGGUACGGACGCGUGGGAGAUGGGCGGAAGACUGACGGAGCAACGGAGGGUUGAUGAUGAAGGGCUGCGGGUGGUAUGACUCCGUUAGUGUGGAAGAACAAACGCGGAAGGAGCGAUGCAUGUGUUGACGGUACCUACAGAGAAAGCAACGGCUAACUACGUG
This 497-nucleotide ribosomal RNA is filed under the name uncultured bacterium. Its description in RNAcentral is "partial 16S ribosomal RNA". It matches the Rfam family "Bacterial small subunit ribosomal RNA", at positions 28 to 507 of the family's 1533-position model. The record is from RNAcentral.